CGAAUGCUGACAUAAGUAACGAUAAAGCGGGUGAAAAGCCCGCUCGCCGGAAGACCAAGGGUUCCUGUCCAACGUUAAUCGGGGCAGGGUGAGUCGACCCCUAAGGCGAGGCCGAAAGGCGUAGUCGAUGGGAAACAGGUUAAUAUUCCUGUACUUGGUGUUACUGCGAAGGGGGGACGGAGAAGGCUAUGUUGGCCGGGCGACGGUUGUCCCGGUUUAAGCGUGUAGGCUGGUUUUCCAGGCAAAUCCGGAAAAUCAAGGCUGAGGCGUGAUGACGAGGCACUACGGUGCUGAAGCAACAAAUGCCCUGCUUCCAGGAAAAGCCUCUAAGCAUCAGGUAACAUCAAAUCGUACCCCAAACCGACACAGGUGGUCAGGUAGAGAAUACCAAGGCGCUUGAGAGAACUCGGGUGAAGGAACUAGGCAAAAUGGUGCCGUAACUUCGGGAGAAGGCACGCUGAUAUGUAGGUGAAGUCCCUCGCGGAUGGAGCUGAAAUCAGUCGAAGAUACCAGCUGGCUGCAACUGUUUAUUAAAAACACAGCACUGUGCAAACACGAAAGUGGACGUAUACGGUGUGACGCCUGCCCGGUGCCGGAAGGUUAAUUGAUGGGGUCAGCGCAAGCG
This 625-nucleotide ribosomal RNA is filed under the name Escherichia coli. RNAcentral describes it as "partial 23S ribosomal RNA". It matches the Rfam family "Bacterial large subunit ribosomal RNA", at positions 1291 to 1901 of the family's 2925-position model. Lineage: Bacteria; Pseudomonadati; Pseudomonadota; Gammaproteobacteria; Enterobacterales; Enterobacteriaceae. The record is from RNAcentral.